GGGGGGGGGGGGGGGGGGGGGGGGGGGGGGGGGGGGGGGGGGGGGGGGGGGGGGGGGGGGGGGGGGGGGGGGGGGGGGGGGGCCGCCGCCGCCGCCGCUGCCGCCUCCGGGCCGGCCCGGGCGGGCCGCUGCCCGCUGCUCGGGCUGCUCAGCCGUGCCGAGACAGAGCCAACGCUGUCCCUCAGGUUUAUUGCUCAGAGAGACAGUACCUUUUGCUGAGUUGAGCAUAUGGCUAACAGGAGCUAUGUCAGGUAAGUUAUGCAACCUUUAGUUUUUUCACCUAGUUUCUUUUGUUGUUAGUCAGCUUUGGAAUAGAAUUAUAAUGCAGUCAGGUUUGUAACAACUGCUAGCUUGGGUUGUCUGUUACUUUGAAAUAUCUGGAAAAAUGCCAACGAUCUCAAGUGUCUUGAAGUCUUAUCAAGCUUUUGCUUUUUCUGUUUCUUGUUGCAACAGAUGAGAACACAGAAAGUUCUGAAGCAAACUGGAUUAGGUAAGAAAGUUUUUAAAUGUCAUAAUCUGUGGCACCCUGGAGAAAAACUAAAUUUGUUGUUCUGACUUACUUCCACAAAAUAGACAAAUCCUUGUCUCAUUCUGCUAACAUGUCAUAAUUUGUCUUAGAGAUGUCAGCUGGUAGCCAGGGACUGUUCCUCUGCUUGGAGCUCUAUUUAUUAAUAUUUUUCUUUCUCAUGUAAUGAAAUUAAGCUAUUGAGCUGGCAAAAUAGGUGAUUCCUGAUUUCUCCUUAAUGCCAGAACACUGUGAAAGUUAUGGAGAGCAUGUAGUUAAAUAUAACAGUUACUGACAGUUGUUUCUUUGCAGUGAGGGCUUCCAAUGUUUUUGUAACAGCCCAACUGUACUUGGUAAGUUGCACUAGAGAUGCAAUUCCAUUCACAAACAUUCCCUAAGGGUAGAACUGUCCUUGUGAUUUUGGGCUUUUUCA
This 938-nucleotide long non-coding RNA is filed under the name Ficedula albicollis (Collared flycatcher). Its description in RNAcentral is "lncRNA (ENSFALG00000023134.1)". The record is from RNAcentral. Lineage: Eukaryota; Metazoa; Chordata; Aves; Passeriformes; Muscicapidae.